UGGAACAUGCGAAAGCUAACCUGCCUGUUGCAAGCACAGAAAAUUCCAAUCAGAAAAAUCAGUUUGUGGAAUAGCAUUUCUUGGCUGAAAGUACCCCAUUUCUUCCUUAGUUCCCAAGUACAGGAGGAACAAUACAAAUAGCACUGGCUUCAAGUGUGUGCUUCUGAUACAAAUUAAGACAAGUUAAGCUGUUUUGCCAGCAAAGGUCAGCUCUUUUUAAGUCUAAUUUGGCAGGUACCUUGCAGGCAUUUGAUACAAAACCUGCAAGGACUAAAGGACACAGAGUCAGAAAUCUGAUAAUUAAGCCUUCAAGGGCCUGUAUCAGAUUCACUUCUUUUUCUCAGGUGGGAAGUUUCUACCUGCCUUGCAUUGUGAAGUAUUUCACACCCAGUUAGAAUCUAUAUAUAUUGACCACCAUACUUUUACAAAUCAGAACUGCUAAGAGAUGUAAUAAAAUAACCAGUUUAAUUUGUGUUAUAUUUUGAAGAAAGUGUGAGCAGCAGCCAUACAGAUAAUGAACAGUAUAUUCCAGCAAUGUACAUUUUAAGUGGAGCAGACUAGAUCCCUGCCCUACUGCCAUGCCCAACCAUGCUUGCCAGUUGUAUGUCCAAAUAUAGCUGUGGCCUAUUUUCAACCCACAAAUGUGUAUAAUCUGUCCUCAUUCCCACCACACACGAGCUGGAACCUGUGACUGCUUCUGUAAAAUCUGAAGUACAAGUUCAAAUGUGCAGGUACUGUUCAGCUUAUUUGUUUUGUGAGAGUCUGCUCCCAGCUUUCAGUGUUUUUAGCCAAUGAAUGAAAACAUAGCAAUGACUGGCAUUUUGAAAAGCAGAUCUAGCGAAAUAGAAAAUCAGUUACACACCAGUGUCUAGUGAAGCAACUUUUUGGUUACUUUUUCAGUCUUCUCUGCCCUGUUGGUUGCCACUCUUGACUGAUGUUAACACUUCUUCUUUAAAGUCGGUGUUAGAACUUUAAUGAAAAAUUGCUAUCUGUAUGAGGCCUCAGCUUCAGGAUGCUUUUAUCCAGAUAUGUUACCUAGGAUUAUUUCCAUUUCCAGGUACAUUUUCUUCUGUUAGAGAAGAACUACAAGAAGCUAUUGUUAGCUUCUUGAAGCAAGAUGUCGAGUCUGGGGCCCUUCCUUGUAAAAUAAUUUUUUAAUAACCAGGAAAAUGUGUGCAUUAGAACAAGGGUUGCUCCAAUAUGAGUGCAAUUAGUCAAGAAAGUGUCCUGCAGGGAUAGAACUUGGAAAAAGUUUAUUAAUGGAAAAAGUUAAGGUACUUAUCUGUACCUUUUCUGUGUUUGAAAACUUAACUUUUUGGCUGAAAUAUUUUUGAAAGCUGGUUCUUAUUAUGGUAGAGGGUUUAUCCUUCUCAGUUAUCACCAACAGCUACACUGCAAUUACCUUCCCAGUUAGUCAUGAGAGUCUAAUGUCAAAAUGACUCAAAGCGUUUAGUAGAAAAUUUCACUAUGCUCCAUAAAAGAUUUUUAACAUUAGAUAUAGUGCAGGAUAAUAUAUUUUAACAAUAAUGGUUACAUGAUUUUGUAAGAACAAACAAGGAUUCACUUUCACUUUAAUAUAUGUCUUUUCUCUCCCUUAGUGUUACGUGAUUGACCAGAAUUCAAAUUGGGAGCUGGCGGGGACUCCUGUCGUACCACGUGGCCUGCCCAUGGAUUUCCCAACUACCAACUGCCUAGUCAUGUGUUGCUUCCAGGGGCUUGGGGCCCGAUGCAACAGGCUGCAACUGCCGCCCCCAUUGGGACCAGACUAUUAACAUCAGGGCAGGCGCUUACAUCCAUCAGUGCAGCAUUGAUGUAGUUACUGCUUUCCCCAUCUAUUGUAAUGAGGAAAGGUAGGCAUCUGUCUGGAGGAAGCACAUCCAUGCACCGAUUCUUCUCGUGAUUCCGUGGUAAAAGUGCUAUGCUGCAGUCCUCCACGCGCAGAGUUGGAGUCACCAUGUUAAGGGUCUACAAACAACAACAACAACACAAUAUGAGAGGAAGAGCUGAUUAGCAAUGAAUGUGCCUUCAGAAUAGGAUUAUGAGUAUCUUUAAUUUUAAAAGAGAGUCUGUGCUUCAGAGAAUAAUGAAAAAUUCUGGUCUCACAUUUUAAAAACAAACAAAUAAACCUUACGAUACAAA
Molecule: long non-coding RNA, 2139 nt
Organism: Podarcis raffonei (Aeolian wall lizard)
Lineage: Eukaryota; Metazoa; Chordata; Lepidosauria; Squamata; Lacertidae
Exons: 2
Source: RefSeq, a predicted model, not a curated record